This 3210-nucleotide long non-coding RNA is filed under the name Capsicum annuum. Its description in RNAcentral is "long non-coding RNA (CANN_LNC018241)". Lineage: Eukaryota; Viridiplantae; Streptophyta; Magnoliopsida; Solanales; Solanaceae. The record is from RNAcentral.
CUUCUUCGUAACAUAGUCGAUAUGUUGCUGAGAUGUGAAAUAAGGACAUGAAUAUCUGUUCUCCUUUUAGAUCAAGCAGUAAUAUACCCGAUAUCUAUUUAGAGAGGAUUUUAUCGCUCCUUUGGUGACAUUGAUAGAAAUUGUCAGCAACAAUAAAGGAAAGUAAACUCGAAGUGCUUUUCAUUUCUCAAUUACAAGAGUUCUUAAAUAGAUAAAAGCUAUAAUAACAAAACACGCUGUUAAUCCUAAUUAUUUUGAUCUAAACUCACUCCACUAAUCCUCUAGCCUAAACAAUAGGAAACAACUUAUUUCACUUCCAAACAAUAGCAACAAAACAAAACACUACCCCACAAUUAUAGNNNNNNNNNNNNNNNNNNNNNNNNNNNCGAAAAUGGAGAAUCGUUGAAGGCUUGGAUCAUUUCAUUUAAUAUUUAAUCUAUUUAUUUAAAUAAUUUUUUUAAAAUAUAUUUAUUUCAUAUCUAUAUGUAUUAGUACUCCAAUUUUAUUUGCUAUUUAUUUUAUAUUCUAUAAAUGCGUUAAAAGUAGUUAAAAACAAAGAAAUUAUGGAUCAAAAUUCUAGAAAUUAAUUGAUUUUUCAAACUGAACCUUGAUGUAUAAAUAUUAACAGGAUAAUGUUUACAACAAAACAUCUAGCAUUUAUUAAAAGCCGCUGGCCCAUGGGCUGUGCAAUGUAGGUUGGGUCAGCUUAUGGGGCCAAACGUUAAUAGUAAGUAAUCACUAUUUACUAUUAUUUAGAAUUUAGCCGCCUUCACUCUUGGCAGCGGCAAUCGUCUUCUCCUUUGUAAUGCAUACCUUAGUAACUGCAAUCUCAUUCGCCAAUAUAAUAUUCAAAGUUUAACCAAUCACUGUUGGAAUAAAUAUUUGGUUAAUAUUUCUGUUUAGCUAGUUAUAUUAUUGCUCCUUAAUUGUUUAUUAAUAUCUCUAUUUGAUUUGAAUUGUCAUGUAAAAAGUUAUGCAGUUUCGCAAUUGUUAGGAUUUUUUUUUUGUGAAUUUGAGACUUGAUUAGCAAGUAGAAACACCACGGAAUCAUUCAGUAUAAUGUUUUAUAAGAAAAGUGGAUUUAAUUCUUGUGCUCUUUUGUGAACAAUGAAAUUAGUUUCUAGUGUCACACCCUUUUUCCAACUCCGAAAAGAUUUGAUUUUAAGUUCGAAAGAGUUUUAUUAUUAAGGUGACAAAAAUGAAAAAUUUGUUUCGAAAAAAAAAAAAGGACUAUUUACAUUAUUAUUUUUUCUUAUUCAAAAUCGCCACUUGGCAUAAUCUGGUGUGCCAAGUCACCUUUGGAAAAUCCUUUUCGAAACGGUUUGACUCUAAAAACUGAUCCGCGAACAGAGAUUCCGGCUAAGAAAUUCUGUUGACCGAGGGGAAGGUGUUAGGCACCCCUCGAUCCCGUGGUUCGACCACGGUCGCUUGGUGGAGCGUAUCGACUAAUUUGACAUUACAAAUGUACAAACCACAUAAACACACAAAAUAAGCAAACAAACAAAUCACACAAAAUUCAAAACAGACCAAAAUAAUGUUCAGUCCAAAUUAUACAAUCCAAAAUAAAAGAGAUGCUGAAAUAUAAAACCUAUUCUAUUCUAAACUAAUCCUAAACUAAACUCCGAAAUGGAUUAAAGAAAAGGACCUCAAUAGAACAUUCUCGUAGAUAAUAAAGAAGUCCGAAACCGAAAUCCUCGAACAAAGAACCCCAACGACGAACACGCCAAAUCAAUAAACCGAGAUCACCGACCGAGCAAAUUUCAACCCAGAAUAAGACCUCAAUGUGAAAACCAAAAUCACGAAUAUUGAUAUGACUUAGUCGCGGAAACCCCCAGAAAGCAAUAUCGAACGAAUCCCGCAACAGACAAAACCCGAAACACCCUAAAACUCUAAUAAAAGAACUGAACCCGAUAGAAAUCAAGCUCAGGCGAGCUGACAGCGACAAAACCAGUUGGAAUAGACCAGAUUCCAGCUAGGUCUCGUCUCGAUAUCGAAAGAAAAUAAGGGAUUUUUCAGCGAUUUAUGACUGAUUCGGCCCAAAAAUGAUGACGGACAUCAAUUCCGAUGCGGAUAUCAACAGAAAACACGAAAAAGAAUCGGAUUUCUCCCUGUUUUCAGAUCUCUUUGCCAAAUCUCCAUCUAUUACCCCUCCAUUUUUCGUCUCUCCCUUACUAAGUGUGUGUGUGCAAGUGUUUUCUAGCUAGAGCAAGUGUAUAUGUGUGUGUGAAUCGUGAGGUUUGUGUGUGCAUUAAUGAUGGUUUCUCGUGAGUGAGAUCUGCUAUGGUGAGGAUGAUGGAUCGUAUAUGGGUGAAGUAUGGUGAAUGGAAAAUAUUAGUGAGGGUGUCUGUGAGUAUGCUGGUUCAUGGAAGAAAAAUGAGAAUCCCUGGUUAGUGUGUUGUGAAGAUUCGUGUCAAAGAGAAGAAGGAUUUUCUCCCCAUUGCUCUGUGUGUUUUCUCCCUUUUCUUCCUCUCCCUCUCGCAGCUCUCUCUCUCUCAUAGAUUUUUCUCCGAUCGUGUGGGAUUUAGUGAUUAUGCGAAGAAGAAAAGGAAACAAAAACAGAGUUCAAAAAAAUGGCCAUCCCCUGUAUUUUUGUGAUCUGUGAGAGGAAAACCAAAUGAAGAAGAAGAAGCCCCCCAAAAAUUCUCGAUGGUGUGUGUAUUUAUUUUCUUGUGAAAUUGUGGAGAAGGACCCCUAUUUUUUGUGAAUUGUGUAUGUGUAUAUAUCUGUUCUUUACCAUAGAUUCCCAAUUGUGGUCCCUCCUAGUUAUUGUUGUUGUUUCUUGGAAGUUUCCUCCAUGUAUAUUUCUUUGUGGACAAGAAAAAGAGAGGGUGGGGUGUUGUUUUUUACUUGGAGGGGUAAGGGUUAGGUGUCUUAUUUUAAUUGAAAGGGUUGUUAUGAUAUUAAAAAGUAUAAAAGUUUAUUAGGGAUUUUGUUGAGAGUUGUCUUUUUUUUUUUUUUGUAUUUUUUUGUGGGAUGUAAUUACAUGGGUGAGGUUAUAUGGUAGGAUAAGGUAAAAAUGGAUAAAAAAAUGCUAUCGGAAAUGGACAAAAUUACGUGUCUACAUCUAGAAAUUGGAUCCAUAAUUUCUUUGUUUUAAUUACUUCUAACACAUUUAUAGAAUAUAAAAUAAAUAGCAAAUAAAUUGAAGUACCAAUACUUAUAGAUACUAUCUUUGAAAUAAAUAUAUCUCAACAAAUUAUUUAGAUAAAU